CCCGGACUCUUCAGAAAACAAAACUUACACUUUGUCAUGGAGCAGCUAGAAAUUCACCUCAACAUACUCAAUAAUUCAGCAUGUUUGAGCACAUAUUCCAUGCCAGGCACAGUGCUGGAACAGGGACAGCUGGAACAAAGUGGGAGACCCUCUAGCCACCAGGAUCCCAGAGAAGAAGCGAAGUGACUUGCCUAGAACACCAACCAAAAAUGACGGAGCCAAAAGGUGAGCUCCUAUUUCCUGUUUCUCGUUACCAUCCACUGUAUCCCACCUUCUCCCAGGGAAUUAUUUUACAACAUAGGAAACAUGUUUGCUUAGGAAAUCUCAAAAUUAAAGGCAGGAGCAAGAAAAUGUCCAGCCACUGUGCUAUGAUUUCUGAGCCAGUGAGGGCUGACCAUCACUGUGGGGAGAGCCCAGUGUUCUUGGUCCAGACCCUUUCUUUUGUCACUGGACGCAAGUGGACCUGUUUCCCCAUUUUCUCUGCAAAACCAUCUCCUACUCAAAUUCAUUCAUAGCCCUAGAAUCAGGCAGCCUCCUCUACCUGCUCGUCUCUUAAAUGUGAACAACCAUUAAGAAAUGCAGGAAGGAAAUCUGGUGGAUCCAUUUCCAUAGCCCUUAAUCCCUCUGUUCGUCCUUCCUUGUAUCAAUAUCACUUCCCCAUUCUCCAUUGCCUCCCCCCAGCUAAAGGAAAUCUGACAAAGCAAUGAGUCUAUAGUGGAAGAAAUUAUUAGCCUCAGGUGGACAUCAUUUGGAUCCAACCUACAUCACCUACUGGCUGUAGGACCAUGAGCAAGUUAUUUAAGCUCUCUGUCCCAGUGUCUUCAUUCACAAAUUGAAAUGGACCAUGCCCACCCCUCGGGGGGUUUGUGACAGUUAAGCGAAAUAACACAUAAAUGGCGCUCAAUACAUACGUGUAGCAUGUAAGUAGAACUCAAUAAAGACUCAUUCCUUUAGUUGACAGCUUAUUCAAAUCUAUCAUAGUUUUUGUUGUUGUUGUUGUUGUUGCUCUUGCUUUGUUUUGUUUUUUAAACCACAGGGCCAGAGCUGGGUCAAGGAGGAAGGAGGAGAAGGAAGAGCAUCCUUUAGCCGCCCUCUGACUCUGCCUUUUCGGGUCUCGCUCCUGGCCUCACUGUAGACAUCAUCCCCAGGCACACCUCCUCCGCACCUCCUUCCUGCUAUAGAGUACAGUCCCACAGUUGGAAUCAUCUCUCCUCAUCCCAGUUACAAAGCCAGAGAGGAUUUACAGUCAAAGCAUCUACACCAGCAGUCCCUCUUACUGACACUGAUCAGACAGGGAGGUAGAACUGAUGGAAAACACAGCACAGCAUCAGAAGCAUAGCUUGGGAGCUUAUUAGCAGCAAAGUGCUGUUCUCUGCGGCAUUUUCUGGUGCUCCAGAAAUACAUCCCCUUGGAUGGAGAUACUACCGGGCCAUCUAAUGUGAAAUUUUCUGCUGGAGUGGUUAACGCUGGAGAUUUCCUUGAAAAACAUCGCCACUGAGAGAGGCUGGCUUCAAGUUUCAUAUAUAUGUAUAUGUAUCUGUGUGUGUGUGUGUGUAUGUGUGUGUCCAUGUGUGUGUAUAUAUAUUUUUAUAUAUAAAUACAUGUGUAUUUAUAUAUAUAAAUAAAUUUAUAAUGUAAUAUAUAAAUAUUUAUAUAUAAAUAA
Molecule: long non-coding RNA, 1663 nt
Filed under: Homo sapiens (human)
Lineage: Eukaryota; Metazoa; Chordata; Mammalia; Primates; Hominidae
Description: HSALNT0134765
Source: RNAcentral